AUUGAACGCUGGCGGCAGGCCUAACACAUGCAAGUCGAACGAGUGGCGGACGGGUGAGUAAUGUCUGGGAAACUGCCUGAUGGCGGGGGAUAACUACUGGAAACGGUAGCUAAUACCGCAUACCAUCGGAUGUGCCCAGAGGGGAUUAGCUAGUGGGUGGGGUAAAGGCUCCCCUAGGCGACGAUCCCUAGCUGGUCGGAGAGGAUGAACGGACACACUGGAACGGAGACACGGUCCAGACUCCUACGGGAGGCAGCAGUGGGGAAUAGUGAACAAUGGGCGCAAGCCUGAUGCAGCCAUGCCGCGGGUAUGAAGAAGGCCUUCGGGUUGUAAAGUACUUUCAGCGGGGAGGCGUUACCCGCAGAAGAAGCACCGGCUAACUCCGUGCCAGCAGCCGCGGUAAUAC
Molecule: ribosomal RNA, 406 nt
Filed under: uncultured bacterium
Lineage: Bacteria
Description: partial 16S ribosomal RNA
Rfam family: Bacterial small subunit ribosomal RNA
Source: RNAcentral